ACAGACAGACAGACAGACAGACAGACAGACAGGAGGACGUGAAUGAGGACCACUUGAGGGAAAGGCUGGCCUGACUGCCCUCCGUGCUUACUUGUGUUUCUCUUCAACCGAGGGCUUGCGCUGAUUUGAACUGUAAAGUGAAACAGGACCAAGCUGAUUGCUGGAAUAUGAUGAAGUAGCUGUAAUGUGAUAUGAUAUUCUACUGCAUUUACUGAAGACAGUUAGGUAUGCCUGUCUGCUCAAAAGUAGCUACACCGUCAGGCAACAGGAGAGCAAUGGACCUUGGUAAUUGACUCCGCCAUCCUGUUUUUCCACAACCAGCAACAUAUACAAAAAAUGUGAUUUGAAAAUACAUGUAUUUAUUUAUUAUAGCUUCAGCACCUCAAGUAGGCCAUUAUGAGGUUGGCUAGUGUGCAUAAAGUUAUUCUGUGAGGCCUUCAUUUGUACUUUGUAUUAUUUUAUUCUUGCAUUUUUAUGUCUCGCUGUGCUUUUUAAAUAAUUGUGUUAUGUCCACUGUACUGUCCUGUCUGCAGUAUUGAAUGUAUCUGUUUCAAGCUCUUGGUGCAGAACAAAUUCCCUUCGGGGCAAUAAAGGUUUCAUUCAUUCAUCGACCCAGGAAAAUAAAGGUACAUCAUCACUCUAUAAUGCCAGGAAUCUCGUGUCUGUCUGAACCCUAACCCAUUUUGUAAAGUGUACGAUCAACUGCACGGUAAUGAAACC
This is a long non-coding RNA of Hypomesus transpacificus, 720 nucleotides long. RefSeq lists it as uncharacterized. The transcript is spliced from 3 exons. The record is from RefSeq and is a predicted model, not a curated record. Lineage: Eukaryota; Metazoa; Chordata; Actinopteri; Osmeriformes; Osmeridae.